RNAcentral lists this ribosomal RNA (447 nucleotides) under uncultured bacterium. Its description in RNAcentral is "partial 16S ribosomal RNA". It matches the Rfam family "Bacterial small subunit ribosomal RNA", at positions 29 to 523 of the family's 1533-position model. The record is from RNAcentral.
AACGAACGCUGGCGGCAGGCUUAACACAUGCAAGUCGAGCGCCCCGCAAGGGGAGCGGCAGACAGGUGAGUAACGCGUGGGAAUCUACCCAUCUCUACGGAAUAACUCAGGGAAACUUGUGCUAAUACCGUAUACGCCCUUAGGGGGAAAGAUUUAUCGGAGAUGGAUGAGCCCGCGUUGGAUUAGCUAGUUGGUGGGGUAAAGGCCUACCAAGGCGACGAUCCAUAGCUGGUCUGAGAGGAUGAUAAGCCACAUUGGGACUGAGACACGGCCCAAACUCCUACGGGAGGCAGCAGUGGGGAAUAUUGGACAAUGGGCGCAAGCCUGAUCCAGCCAUGCCGCGUGAGUGAUGAAGGCCUUAGGGUUGUAAAGCUCUUUCACCGGAGAAGAUAAUGACGGUAUCCGGAGAAGAAGCCCCGGCUAACUUCGUGCCAGCCGCCGCCGUAA